GCCUAACACAUGCAAGUCAACUUGACUGAAGGAGCAAUCUGACAGUAGAGUGGCGCAAGGGUGCGUAACGCGUAAGUAACUUGCCCCAAGGUAAGGAAUAACGUCGAGAAAUCGGCGCUAAUACCUCAUAAUGCAGCGGAUCCGCAUGGAUAUGUUGUUAAAGGUUUACCGCCUUGGGAUAGGCUUGCGUCUGAUUAGCUAGUUGGUGUGGUAACGGCACACCAAGGCUACGAUCAGUAACUGGUCUGAGAGGAUGAUCAGUCACACUGGAACUGAGACACGGUCCAGACUCCUACGGGAGGCAGCAGUGAGGAAUAUUGGGCAAUGCUCGAAAGAGUGACCCAGCAACGCCGCGUGGAGGAUGAAGGUAUUCUAUAUCGUAAACUCCUGUGAGAGCAGACGAAAGACAGAUUAUUAAUCUGGAUGACUGUAUGCUCAGAGGAAGCCCCGGCUAACUACGUG
RNAcentral lists this ribosomal RNA (462 nucleotides) under uncultured bacterium. Its description in RNAcentral is "bacterial SSU rRNA". It matches the Rfam family "Bacterial small subunit ribosomal RNA", at positions 46 to 507 of the family's 1533-position model. The record is from RNAcentral.